UACGAAGGGGGCUAGCGUUGUUCGGAAUCACUGGGCGUAAAGCGCACGCAGGCGGAUUGAUAAGUCAGGGGUGAAAUCCCGGAGCUCAACUUCGGAAUUGCCUUUGAUACUGUCUAUCUUCGAGUUCGGGAGAGGUUGGCGGAAUUCCACGUGUAGCGGUGAAAUGCGUAGAGAUGUGGAGGAACACCAGUGGCGAAGGCGGCUUUUUGGUCUGUAACUGACGCUGAGGCGCGAAAGCGUGGUAGCAAACAGG
Molecule: ribosomal RNA, 253 nt
Filed under: uncultured bacterium
Lineage: Bacteria
Description: partial 16S ribosomal RNA
Rfam family: Bacterial small subunit ribosomal RNA
Source: RNAcentral